UGGGGAACAUUGCACAAUGCGCGCAAGCCUGAUGCAGCCAUGCCGCGUGUAUGAAGAAGGCCUUCGGGUUGUAAAGUACUUUCAGCGGGGAGGAAGGCGAUAAGGUUAAUAACCUUGUCGAUUGACGUUACCCGCAGAAGAAGCACCGGCUAACUCCGUGCCAGCAGCCGCGGUAAUACGGAGGGUGCAAGCGUUAAUCGGAAUUACUGGGCGUAAAGCGCACGCAGGCGGUCUGUCAAGUCGGAUGUGAAAUCCCCGGGCUCAACCUGGGAACUGCAUUCGAAACUGGCAGGCUAGAGUCUUGUAGAGGGGGGUAGAAUUCCAGGUGUAGCGGUGAAAUGCGUAGAGAUCUGGAGGAAUACCGGUGGCGAAGGCGGCCCCCUGGACAAAGACUGACGCUCAGGUGCGAAAGCGUGGGGAGCAAACA
This 427-nucleotide ribosomal RNA is filed under the name uncultured bacterium. RNAcentral's name for it is "partial 16S ribosomal RNA". It matches the Rfam family "Bacterial small subunit ribosomal RNA", at positions 355 to 774 of the family's 1533-position model. The record is from RNAcentral.